RNAcentral lists this long non-coding RNA (5903 nucleotides) under Xyrichtys novacula (pearly razorfish). Lineage: Eukaryota; Metazoa; Chordata; Actinopteri; Labriformes; Labridae. The record is from RNAcentral.
UUGGAGUUUGAAGGGUUGGGGUUUACAGAGGGGGUUUUGGCGAUAUGGCUCACCAGGACUGAGGGCCCUGAGUUGUGUUGCACAAUAAGUCAGUGCCUCAGUGCUCUCAGUCAAAACAACUGGUGUCAGGCUUACAUGGUUUACAUGCCUAUUCUAGGGGCACGGCUGCCAGCGCAGCAAAGGGGAGGACAGACAGUUAGGAGGGGAGGUUGAGGCCGGUUCAACCCAGUGCUCAGAGAUGAAUGUGUACUCUUACAGCUGUUUGACCUCAAGAGCUGUGGGCUGACCUGGUCACAGUUUAGGUCAGAAAGCAGAGCUGGAAUAACGUACUGGGAGAGAGUUUGUACGGUAUUCCAUCAUGUCACACUGACGUCUCAUUUCAGCAGGCGUCAGGUCGAGGAAACGAAGGAUAAUAGUUUGAUGACUGAAACUGUUGCAGCGUAAAUCCAUUAAUUCAAUUCAUGUGAACACCAAAACCACCACUUUAGUCCAGACCUCAGAUUUUGAGCGAAUUAUUGUUGUGCAGAGUCGCAUGAAAUGGAAAUAACGCACUCAUUUGCAUUUAUAUUUAUAGUUUUGUCAUUUAUUUCUACAUUAGUCUCUGCUAAAGUAACAGCAACUCAUCAGGGGUCCAUACUUGUAAAAAUGAAAUUAAAAUGUUUGGACAGAAAUGAUGUUAAAAAUGAACCGACCGUUAUAACAACAGCAACAGUAUUAAAAUGAACAACAGAUAACAGGCUGAAUAAAAUAACUUAAAGCACCUGUGAAGAAUUUUUAGAAGGUGUGAAGGUACAGGGAGGAAGAAGGGCUCCAACCAUCAGGUGCUUUUUUUAGUAGUUUUUUGUGACGCUGACUUUGCUUUUGUUUGCGUGUCUCCUUUUAUGUGGUUGUAAUAUUGUUUGUAAAGUUACAGGAAAAAAACCUGAAGUGGACGGACCAUCUUUAGUUAUUGUUUAUUUCUGUUUGGAGUGAGCGGGUAAAAUACGCCUUGUCUUCUACCUGCUCUCUUCCAGUCAUGUGCUGUGCUACAGUUGUUAAAUGCCUUUUGUAUUUAUGAAAAUGCUCAAUAAUGGCCAUGAGUGGAACAAAUAAAAAUGAAACGAAACGAAAAAGACUUGAUGUAAAAUGGUGUAAGAUGGAGCCCCACCUUGUCAGAUCAGACUCACUCCAAUUGCAUCUUCAUCUUUAUGAGUGUAGCACGAGUGCUGAGAGGAAAAACUUCCUUAAACAGGCAGAAACCUCAAGCAGAACCAGACUCAUGUCAGGACAGUCAUCUGCCUCGACUGCAAAGGAUCUAGAGGGAGAUGCAGAAAGAGAGAUGGACAGGUGAGAUUGAUGCUGGUAGUUGAAGCAGCAGGAAAACAGGAAGCUACAACAUGAUGGAGCUCAGGGACUCCCACAAAAAAUGGGAAUUUAAGAUGGAAAUAUAACAGAUAUGCAAUAACCAUAGAUGGUGUCAUAUAUACAUAGAAAAAAGUCUUCUUCAUUGACAGGAGAGAGGCAGAGACACGAGGAGCACACUGACACAGAUUUGUCACAACUGUUUAUAUAAAAAUGUUCCAUGUGCCACGAAAGAAACAGACAAAAAUCUGCUUUCAGUUUUGAUUCACGUCACAUCCAAAUGGAGCCCACGGCAGGAAAAUCUUAACUUAGCCCCAAUCAUUCCACUCACACUUCAAAGCCAUGGUUUUAGCAAACACAGCAGUGGGAGCACAUGUUUCAUGAUGACUUUGCAUGCAUUUCUGUGUAACCAAAGCUGCUUCUACUUUAGCUGUGUCCUUGUUCUUUAACGAGCUUACUCCAUCUCUGCUGUUUUUUCGCAUGUUUUUAGAACUUUAAUUGAGUUUUAAUUGAGCUUAAAUGUAAAAUUAGCUCUCUAACAACAAAAUUACAGUUGACUGAUUUCAUUCAGUUGUCUAAGGUUGGUCGACUCGCUGCUGGACCACUUAUCUUAGCUCUUACAUCGGCACUGAGGCAGAGCUUUACCCCCUUUAUUCUCACAAGUUCACUGCCUCAUGCAACUACUGGGGAUUUUGUUAUAGGCUAACAAAUAAGUCUCCUUUUCCCUCUCUGAUGUCCUUUGAGCAUUUUAUUGCCAUUUGGCCAGCCGCUCUGGAACCACAGAGGGAGUGGAGCAUGAUGGAAACUCCAUAUAAAAAGAAAAUAAACCAAACUCACUUUAACAGCAACAUUGUGAGAGAGAGCGCAGCGCCGAGGAUGAGAGAUGCAAAGGGUAACAUGUGUGACACUGCUGGGGAGGUGGUGGACAUACAUUAUGAGUUUUUACGGUGGAAAAAACUCCUCAGCAUUUCAUUUUUCACCCUCUGUGAUAACACGAGCGUGAACUCCUCUCCACUCUCUCUCUCUCUCUCUCUCUUUCGGCGCGGCGCUUCCUCCUCUCUCCGUGUGUGGUCUGCUUGAUGAGCUGCAGUCUAGCUCGGAGUUAACAAAAGCUGGUGCUGCAGGUAGGGGUCAUCUCUUCUUUUGGCCUCUGCUGUGAAAGGAAAUAGUAAAAAGUCAUUCAAAGUUUUACAUUUGAAUAGCACACUUAAAAAGCACUUGAACAAAUGCAGUGACUGGGCCGACUCUACCCCGUAAAACAGACAAACUGAGGUGUUGUUUUGACUGAGUGUUGGGUUACUUACCCAUGCCUGGUUGGUAUACAUAAACUCUGAAUAAAUCUACUUGUUAGUCUUAAAUAUACUUGUCAGGAUAGAAUUUGCAUAAAGAAAAAUGCUUGUUUUUAUAUUUUUCAUAAAAAGCUCAUAUGGGAUUUUAAGGACUUGGCUGCAGAAUGAUCAAAAACAGGAAGGGUAAAGUAAUUGCUCAAGAAGAUGAAAAGAUGAUGAUCAAUUUAAGUUGCAAAGAUAAUUUUAUUAAAUUACGGAGCUACAGUGUUUGUAUUAUGUAAAUAUUUGUUUGACAUAUUACCGUAAAACUUAUUAUAUAAGUUGCAUUGAUAAUUUUGAGGCCUAUACUAACCCACUGUGACCAAUUUGCCAACUAUUGGUCUUUUCAGUCAAACAAGUGCGCCUCAAUAUCUAUUUACUUAUAGUAUACCAUCAUAUUCAGUGCCCCUUAUUAUGCAAAACUAAUAGCUUUAGUAUUUUCACAAUAAAUCAGAUUUACAGUUUAAAAACGCUCUCCUACCCCUAAAGUGUGAUUUAACCCUGGCAAUGUAAUCAUGUUAUUUUUUGACGUGAAGAUGUUUCUUUUAGUAUGGGUGUGUAUGUGGAUUCAUGGACUUUUGGAGUCAGCCUCAAGUGGACACUAGAGGAACUGCAGAUUUCAGCAUUUUCACUUUCUCAAGACUGGAGGAAAUAUCUGGACCUUUAACCUUAUUUUAUUGUUUUUUUAAACUAAAAUCAUCUGCUUUCGGAAGGUGUUGUGCAAAGUGAAACCAAAAUAAAGAGCUGAAAUUUAUUGUGUAGCUAAAGUAUCUACAGGUCCAUGUCUACAGAUUACUCCUUUCACAUUAGUGCAUUGUUGUUACAUUAAAUCCUGGGUAUUUCUUCCACAAAAACAUAAAUUAGUAUGGAUUUUUCUCUCAAUAUCUGGGUAGAAUUAGCCAAAUGUUACAUGGAUAUGUAUAAAAAAAUUAAAGAAGAACUACCGUGUCUGCAGUGCAAAAUGAUUAAUAUGGUGAUUAUUUCUUCAAGGAAAUGAUAAAGAAAUGAUCAUCAAUGUUCUUUCUUGAGCUGCGUCACCCCGCUGUAGUCCGUAAUGCACUGGCCAGAGGUCUCACUACAAACAAGCGGCUGCAGGAGGAGAGUAGGUGAGUUGUGUUUAGUCUCUUUGCUGAAGAAAUUAGUCAAAGUUAAAAAGAUGUUUGGUGGCUUGUGCUGUGGCUGGGACCCUAUAUGUACUGUUGAUGAAGUUAGGUGCUGUUCUGAGCAUUAUGUGUGGCUAUAGAGUGAUGUUUUGGUUGAGGUUUGUUUAUGGCUCCUCAGACUGCUGUGUAUUGCUAUCGUGCGUUCGUUACUAAAGUUGGUUUAACUAGAGAAGCAAGUGGUCUGCAACAUUCAUCUCUCGAGGGGGUGUCUAACUCGGUGUUAUGAUGCGUUUGACCUUAAAUAAUUUCAUGCUGGAAUAUCCCUUUGGGAACACAAAGUGCUUUACAAAGAGGUAAAAACAAACAACGUUAAAAAAAAAGAGGCUCAAAGCAGUAAAAGCCUUUGGGAGGCUCAAAGCAGUAAAAAUUUCACUCUGGUGAUUUAUGUCAGUUUCGAACACUGUCUGACUUGAUACUGGGCAUGUGUAUGAAAUAUUACAGCAGGGGUUUGACUGGCUCAUUUAGCUGUCAGCAUUACCAAUACUUAAGUUAUGGUAAAAUCAGUGCUGAGUGAGACGUAGAGCAGUGUAAAUGGUGACAGUGAGUGUGUGGAGGAUGACAGUGCUAGCGUGGUCACACAGUGAUCCUUAAAUCACAGGUCCAGAGAGUGAUGACUGUUUAGCCACUUCACAAUAACACUCAUUUCAGAAAGCUGCACGUGGAGCUGUUUGUGUGCGCAUAUGCGGCUCCAAAAGACAUUAGUAGCCAUGCAGUGUGUACAUGAUAAAUGUGCGUGUUUGCACGUCAGAAUAUCUGUCUGUGCGCAGAAUAAACGCCUGUAAAAAUCUUAAUUACAACGCAGAAACUCUUGGUCAAGCUCUGCAGUGAUUUACUAUAGGUGAUCUGGCCUGAGUGCUCACGAAUCACAGCCAAGGCCCAAACCACAUGACCACAAUAGUUGAGUGUAGUUUUCCACUCUGACUGGAGCUGUGAAAGCAGCCACGUUCACGUCCUGUGGUCACAAAUUCACAGCUGUGGACUGAAGAGAUUUCACUCUGACAAACCCCCAGUGUCAUAUCUGAUACUUUAAAAGCUCGAUCCUCUUAUUGGAUUAUGCAACUGGGAGUUUCGCUGCCCUUUAAGCAAACAUACAUGCGCACCAGAGGGAAGAGUUCAGCGCCACUAUGAAGAACUUUUAGAGGAAGAAGAGGGUGAACCUUUUAACCUUACAGUCGAGGGGGGAUCUUAUUUCCCAUCAGGGUAUCCUAAAACGAUGAAAAACAGCUGUUAGAGGGCAGAGUACCAACAAGAACUCUCACACUCUUUGGGAAAUAUAUUCAAGAUUGACUCCACUCAUGUUUUCUUUAUGCUAAGGCAGACAUUUAGCUUCAGCGUACUGUAGGACUGCAGAGCCAGGUCUGCCACAGAGAAUAACAACUCAGUUUCAGAGUGUCUUUGAGUUGUUUUGAUUCAUUUGAUUCAGCUUGACUGUGCAGAAUUUACUGGUCUGAGUGUUUUCUGUCGACAUGAUGUCGAAGCAAAUCUAGAGUUAGGAAGUCAGAACAGACAGCAACAACGUCAGUGUGCAGAGAUGUAAAGUAAUAUCAGAAUAUUACCCACAAGGGCUGACGAGCCUUACUCUACAAAAAUGUCCUAAAUAUUGCAACCCCAUUAACCCUUGGUUUCUGUUAAUUUUAAGCUCCAUCCAGCCUACUUUGUCUCCAAAACUGACAUGCAGGUAAGAGUUCAUAAAAUUCUCUUUUGUUAACUUUUUUUCGACUCAUAUCUCUUAAACAUCUUCAGUCCUGACCAUUAAAAAAUAAUUAAAAAAUUUGAUGUAUUACCCUUUUUAUGACAGUUUUUGUGCAACAUCUCACUGUUAAUUUUAACGGUAAAAAUAAACACAGAAUUGACAUAUUUCCCAUAUAAAAUGACCUAGAUGAAUUUUUUUAAUAAAUAGAGUGUGGUCCAUGUCAGUGAUGAGAAGUAAAACUGAUUUUGGUGCAUUUAAAUUCUUGUCUGAAUAUAAGGCAAGCACUAAAAUAACUUUCGUAGAUGUAGCCAUCUUGUUUCAGGCCUCCGAUUUCGCUUUUUUCCGACUUGGUAACUGAAACCCUGGGAACUCAGGUGU